GUCACAAUGGUGGACUGUCCAGGUGCUGGCUCGGGAGGGAGGUCCACGUCACAAUGGUGGACUGUCCAGGUAGUGGCUCAGGAGGGAGGUCCACGUCACAAUGGUGGACUGUCCGGGUAGUGGCUCGGGAGGGAGGUCCACGUCACAAUGGUGGACUGUCCGGGUAGUGGCUCGGGAGGGAGGUCCACGUCACAAUGGUGGACUGUCCGGGUAGUGGCUCAGGGGGGAGGUCCACGUCACAAUGGUGGACUGUCCAGGUGCUGGCUCAGGAGGGAGGUCCACGUCACAAUGGUGGACUGUCCAGGUGCUGGCUCAGGAGGGAGGUCCACGUCACAAUGGUGGACUGUCCGGGUACUGGCUCGGGAGGGAGGUCCACGUCACAAUGGUGGACUGUCCGGGUAGUGGCUCGGGAGGGAGGUCCACGUCACAAUGGUGGACUGUCCAGGUGCUGGCUCGGGAGGGAGGUCCACGUCACAAUGGUGGACUGUCCAGGUGCUG
Molecule: long non-coding RNA, 498 nt
Filed under: Homo sapiens (human)
Lineage: Eukaryota; Metazoa; Chordata; Mammalia; Primates; Hominidae
Description: HSALNT0344511
Source: RNAcentral